GACAGAGGUGCCAAGCGUUAGGCGGAAUCACUGGGCUUAAGGCGUGUGUAGGCGGAUUUGUAAGUACCUUGUGAAAUCCCACGGCUCAACCGUGGAACUGCUCGGUAUACUGCUUAUCUUGAGCCACUUAGGGGCUACCGGAACAAAUGGUGGAGCGGUGAAAUGCGUAGAUAUCAUUUGGAACGCCAAUGGUGAAAACAGGUAGCUGGGAGUGUGCUGACGCUGAGACACGAAAGCCAGGGGAGCGAACGGG
This 253-nucleotide ribosomal RNA is filed under the name uncultured bacterium. RNAcentral's name for it is "partial 16S ribosomal RNA". It matches the Rfam family "Bacterial small subunit ribosomal RNA", at positions 524 to 776 of the family's 1533-position model. The record is from RNAcentral.